UACGGAGGGGGCUAGCGUUGUUCGGAAUUACUGGGCGUAAAGCGCGCGUAGGCGGCUUUGUAAGUUAGAGGUGAAAGCCCGGGGCUCAACCCCGGAACUGCCUUUAAGACUGCAUCGCUUGAAUCCGGGAGAGGUGAGUGGAAUUCCGAGUGUAGAGGUGAAAUUCGUAGAUAUUCGGAAGAACACCAGUGGCGAAGGCGGCUCACUGGACCGGUAUUGACGCUGAGGUGCGAAAGCGUGGGGAGCAAACAGG
Molecule: ribosomal RNA, 253 nt
Filed under: uncultured bacterium
Lineage: Bacteria
Description: partial 16S ribosomal RNA
Rfam family: Bacterial small subunit ribosomal RNA
Source: RNAcentral